UGUGAAGGAAAGGUGAAAAGGACCCCGGGAGGGGAGUGAAAGAGAACCUGAAACCUUGUGCCUACAAGCACAUAGAGCACAUCAACGUGUGAUAUGGUACUUUUUGUAGAACGGUCCGGCGAGCGAUUGUAUGUUGCGAGCUUAAGGUCUUAAGGACUGGAGGCGUAGCGAGAGCGAGUCUGAACAGGGCGUUCAGUAGCAUGCAAUGGGCCCGAAACCGGGUGACCUACCCAUGAUCAGGCUGAAGUGAAAGUAAAAUUUCAUGGAGGGCCGAACCGACCUCCGUUGAAAAGGCGGCGGAUGAAUUGUGGGUAGCGGAGAAAUUCCAAUCGAACUCGGAGAUAGCUGGUUCUCCCCGAAAUAGCUUUAGGGCUAGCCUCAUAUUAGAUACCCGGAGGUAAAGCACUGAAUGGCCUAGCGCCCGAGAGGGUAGCGAAGCCUAUCAAACUAAGAAUGCCGGAGUAUUGAUGUAUGGGAGUCAGACAGUGUGAGAUAAAUCUCAUUGUCAAAAGGGAAACAGCCCAGAUCUACAGCUAAGGUCCCAAAUUGUAUCUAAGUGGAAAACGAUGUGGAAAUACGCAGACAACCAGGAUGUUGGCUCAGAAGCAGCCACUCAUUUAAAGAGUGCGUAAUAGCUCACUGGUCGAGCGUCUCUGCGCGGAAAAUUUAACGGGGCUAAGAUACAAACCGAAGCUUAGGCUGCAUCGUAAGAUGCGGGGUAGGGGAGCGUUGUGUAAGCGGAGAAACAGUAGCGUAAGCGGCUGUGGAGUUUACAGAAGUGAGAAUGCCGGAAUGAGUAGCGCGAAUGUGGUGAGAAUCCACAUGGCCGGAAACCUCAGGUUUUUGGAGGAAGGUUCGUCCGCUCCAAGUUAGGCGGGAGCUAAGGUGAGGCCGAAAGGCGUAGCCGAUGCACAGACGGUAGAGAUUCCGUCACCACCAAAAGAGUUAAGCACAGGGACACAUAUGAAGUCUCAGAGCCGGGUGUUGGUUCCGGUAGAGAUCGAGGGAAAUUAGUACCGAAGUCUGAGAUGGAAGAUGGCGAGAAAAGCUGUGUGUAUUUCUGAGGUGCCCGUACCGCAAACCGACACAGGUAGGUAGGAAGAAGAUUCUAAGGCCAACGGGAGAAGGGUUGUUAAGGAACUCGGCAAAUUGACCCCGUAACUUCGGGAGAAGGGGUGCUCCAGAGAUGGAGCCGCAGAGAAUCGGCCCAAGCAACUGUUUACCAAAAACACAGGUUUGUGCUAAAUCGAAAGAUGACGUAUACGAGCUGACGCCUGCCCGGUGCUGGAAGGUUAAGAGGAGAUGUGCAAGCAUUGAAUCGAAGCCCCAGUGAACGGCGGCCGUAACUAUAACGGUCCUAAGGUAGCGAAAUUCCUUGUCAGGUAAG
Molecule: ribosomal RNA, 1387 nt
Filed under: human gut metagenome
Description: bacterial LSU rRNA
Rfam family: Bacterial large subunit ribosomal RNA
Source: RNAcentral